RNAcentral lists this transfer RNA (69 nucleotides) under Dipodomys ordii (Ord's kangaroo rat). It matches the Rfam family "tRNA". Rfam says of the family: Transfer RNA (tRNA) molecules are approximately 80 nucleotides in length. Lineage: Eukaryota; Metazoa; Chordata; Mammalia; Rodentia; Heteromyidae. The record is from Rfam by way of RNAcentral.
GGUGCGUGGCUCAGUGGUAGAGCGCUUGCCUAGCACGCAUGAGGCCCUGGGUUCGAUUCCUCAGCACCA